GGAGGAGUGGCGGAGCGGUUGAACGCACCGGUCUUGAAAACCGGCAGGCCCGCGAGGGUCUCGGGGGUUCGAAUCCCCCCUCCUCCG
RNAcentral lists this transfer RNA (87 nucleotides) under Phycisphaerae bacterium. RNAcentral describes it as "tRNA-Ser". It matches the Rfam family "tRNA". Rfam says of the family: Transfer RNA (tRNA) molecules are approximately 80 nucleotides in length. The record is from RNAcentral. Lineage: Bacteria; Pseudomonadati; Planctomycetota; Phycisphaerae.